ACGAUACAUAGCCGACCUGAGAGGGUGAUCGGCCACACUGGGACUGAGACACGGCCCAGACUCCUACGGGAGGCAGCAGUAGGGAAUCUUCGGCAAUGGGGGCAACCCUGACCGAGCAACGCCGCGUGAGUGAAGAAGGUUUUCGGAUCGUAAAGCUCUGUUGUAAGAGAAGAACGAGUGUGAGAGUGGAAAGUUCACACUGUGACGGUAACUUACCAGAAAGGGACGGCUAACUACGUGCCAGCAGCCGCGGUAAUACGUAGGUCCCGAGCGUUAUCCGGAUUUAUUGGGCGUAAAGCGAGCGCAGGCGGUUAGAUAAGUCUGAAGUUAAAGGCUGUGGCUUAACCAUAGUACGCUUUGGAAACUGUUUAACUUGAGUGCAGAAGGGGAGAGUGGAAUUCCAUGUGUAGCGGUGAAAUGCGUAGAUAUAUGGAG
RNAcentral lists this ribosomal RNA (435 nucleotides) under uncultured Bacilli bacterium. RNAcentral describes it as "bacterial SSU rRNA". It matches the Rfam family "Bacterial small subunit ribosomal RNA", at positions 276 to 703 of the family's 1533-position model. Lineage: Bacteria; Bacillati; Bacillota; Bacilli. The record is from RNAcentral.